AGGGCGGGCGGGGGCCGUGCCGCCGCAGCGCGGCCGUUAUUAACCGCUUCGGCGCGGCCUUUGGUCCCGCCCUUGAGGCGGCCGGGCGUGAAGGGACGCAGGGACGGGGCGGGUGGUGCCUCGGGUCCGGGUCCGGUCCUGCCCCGUCUGGGGGGCUCUGGAUCCCGGAGGGGAGAGUUUCACCCAGGAAUGAAAGCGUGAGAAACACAGACUGAACCACGGGCCGCGACGCUGAGGGACUGAGGAAGGUAAAGGCUGAAGGAGCUGUCCCAGCAUCAGUUGGAGGAAGACACGGGAUGAGUGCAUGCAACGGCUGCUCUGCAGAAAAGCACUGACAAGCUGCAGGGAUUUCUCUGAGGCUUCUACCCUUCUUACAGAUAUGGCUGGUACUAUUCUGGUAAACACACUAGAAAAAAAGAAUGAUUGCCUGCUGUUUUCAUCACGAAGCCAGGCUCUGAAUAAUAAUAUACAAAGAAACUAUUAUGUUCAGAAGUUGUUAUAUGUUACCCAACUGUGCAAUGGGCAGAUAACACUAUAUUGCACAGUACUUUUAUUAUUCAAAUACAUGCAAUAGGACGCCAGUGGUUAUUUAUUAUGCAAAAAAAGUACUGGUUUGAAACUUAGAACUGAGAAUAACUAAAUCAAAUGAUUUUUAAAACCCAGAGUAUAUAUCAACUUUUACAUCUUUCUACCAGGAAUUUAUUCCUUCAAUAUCUGGCAAGCAAUGACCUGCAGUCACCAGGAACCUGGAGCACUCUUGGCCCUUGAAUGCUCAUGUCUGCCUCACAUUUGUUUGCACGUGUUAGGAGCAGAACACUUUUCCAUAGGUCCUUUGAUUUGACAGUGCUUUUUGAAGAACAAAGCAACCACAUUCAGAUUGCAGUUUAUUUCUGGUGGGGCUUGGACAAUAUCACAAGUGUUAAUUGCCAGUACUUACUAAGUCAAUGAACCAGUGGUGUCUUACUUGCAAUUUCCCAGCCAUUUUCUUGUGAUGCAAAAAACCUUUUUUAAAAAUCACGUGUUUUUGCUGUUCAUUUGCUAACUUCAGAACAGCUAAAGCACUUUAUUCUCUCAACUUAUUUUGUAACUACUCUUACUGUCUAGCAAGGCAAUCCAGUAAGCACAUAUAGCAAAGCAGCAGCACGCUGUAAUUGUAAAAUCAUUACAGCAGCAUGAGAAUGAAGAACGUUACCCUCUCAAAUGAACUUGAUGCUUGCUGUAUGUACUGGCAGUGUUCUAUCCCAUACUCUCUGUUUUGCAUUCUUUGUUCUACUGAAACAGCACCUUCCUGUGCUAUGAAGAGCAAUGAGAAAGUAAAUAGCUUUUACAAAUGCAUCCUCUGGAGAGGAUAAAAUUGGUUUCAACUACUUCUUUUAUUCAGCUAAGGAAAUGUGUGAACAUUUAUCCCAUUCAGCUCCAUUGCGUCUGAAAAGCAAUACAGGAAGGUUUGAAACAUUAGAGGAAUAACACCUAGAACAAUUUAAAUUGCACUGAAAAGCUGAGUAAGGAAACACAAUUAAUAGCCAGCCUAGAAGCUUUCCUAAAAAUACUUUACACACGGGAACAGAGCACUAAAACAGCACAACUAACCAUGUGUGCCAUCCCCCAUCAUCACUAACAUGCAAAAAACACUCAGUGUGGAAUAAAAGGGACUUCAUGCCAUCAGCACACUAGAAAAGUGUACCAGCACUUCCAUUUAAAGCUAUCAUUCUCCUUCUUAUUUUUUUAGUUAAAAAAAGACUAUUGGAUACCACAGAAAAAAAAAGGACACAUUUGAGGCUUUGCCAUUUCCAGAGUGUUUUUCAGAAACUCAGUAGCUCAGUUUACUUCAGUACUUCUUCCAGCUCCAGAUUAAGAUUAUCAUCUAGCAGAGAAGCCCAGCACUCAGUAUCUUUGUUUUUAUUCAGUAAGUGAAGAGUCUGUGUUUCACCCAAAGGGACUUUUAACUAAAAAGCCAACGUUUAACUAAAAAGCCAGCUUCAUAAGGUAACCUUUCAUUCAGCCGAAUGGAAAACCCUCCACUUCCUAGAUCAUCCUCCAAUGGAUUGUUGAUUUUUGUAGGCACACAAUUCAGAUCACACAGCCAGAACGAUUCCACAAGUUCAGGUGAUCAAUCUAGAAAAGUGUCACUGUUAACAGUUUAAAACACAAGGUCACUGUAAGUGAUAUAUAUGCAUUUUAGCAGUGUCUAAAUAGCAGCUACAUGAUUUGCAGAAGACUGCGCAGACUGUCUGAAGCAGCGAGUCAAAUAUAGGAGAAAAUGCAGCUCAGGGUUCACAAUUCUGCAAAAUAAGCCUCUGCAAAGGAUUCUGACAAUGAAUUUCACAGCACAAACAUCCUUAUGUAGUACCAGGUAACAUCAAAUUUAUACGUACAAACUAGACUGAAUUCACAGCUUAUAAUGACACCUUAGAGUUUGUGCCUUGGCAAGUAUAACUAGACAUGGAAGCGUUCUUAAAUGUUGUUAAUUUUCCUUUUAUAGUGGAUUGAAAUAACAUGCAUCUACAUAGGAAGAGAAAAUGUAGGGAUAGUACUGUCUGUAACAUCUUUUUCCCUAACGUUAGCACAUUAUCAGUGUAUCAAAGGCACAUGGCUGACAAUGCCAAGUUAAUUUGUGAAAACAUGAAACAGGCUUUAGAAUCUUUUAUAUCUGUAAAGGAAAGCACCAUUUUGGAAAAGACUGACCAAUAAGAUUAGAAGCAUUGUAAAUUUUCCAUUCAAAUGCUUAAUUCCAACUGCUUCAGGGCAGCCUUCAGGAACCACCACAGGAGCUUCAUUAAUUCCUUCUCACUGCACUUGUCAGAAGACAUCUAGAAGUGUGGAAGUGCAUUAGUUUAGGAAGCAGAGCUUACAGCCAUUAGAUAUUGAAUGGAACGUCCAAAAAAUCAAGUGCCCCGAUUCCAACAAUCAACCCCAACUCUCCACAAACGCUCACUCUAUUUCAAAGAAAUCACACAUAUUCACUCCUUAGUAUUUUACACUGAACAGACCAGCACAGAUCCUUCCACAGGUCUUACGUCAGCAACUGCCUAUGAUUUAUUGAAGAUAAAUCUUAAAUACUACCAAGAGCUUAACUUACUUACAAGCACAGAAUCCCUACUUUUUCAGACUUCUUAAUGUUGCCUCAGGUAGCUACAAUUGUUUCCACACACACUGCUUUCAAACAGCAAAGAAGAAACAUGUAACUAGUAAUAGUUAUUCUAAGACAGAAAUGAAGCACCACUCUUCACAGCGUAACAUUUCAAAGUAGCUUUUAAUUGCAGAGUGGUGCUAAGUCCCAGCUAUCAUGCGUAGGAUAUGUGCUGAUGCUGGUUAUGACAACAUUAUUUCAUCCCUUCUGCAGUAAAACAAAAAAAUCAUUGUAGCUGUGUAAUCUCAUGACAAGCAUAUGCCUAGAAUAAUAGCGUACACUCUGCAACUGCUGCUCAGUUCCUAUUAGAGGAUUAUAACUUGUUAUUUAUGAGCAUUAAUGGCAUCUAGACACAGUAUUUAAAUCUCUCUCAGGAAGUGUUAAAAAUGCUAAGAGCGUUGCUGUGGUAGCAGACAUACUAUAUUUAGUAAAUGAACUCUGAAAUAUUCUGUUGCAUUAUUUAAGCAUUCCACUAUCUUAAUAAUACUCCAAAGAUUUUGUAGAAAACCAUCACCAUCUAGAGUAUGGGUAACAGAAGAACAAAAAGCCGGCAUUCUAGCAAGGAUUCUUCAGGAAGCUGUAAGUUGGAACAUUAAUAGAGUCAGUGAACUUGUUACAAAUAAUUCUUUUGGAAGUGAGCACUUGUCAAAGCAUGAAGUGUCUACUGUGACUUAUUGAGUGCCAGAAGUUAGGUAUGCUCCAAAAACUUGGGAACUGCAAGGUACAACUUCAUAUCAGAUGAGUAACAACACAGCCCUAAUUCGUAUUUGUAAAGUAACUGCUUAUAUGACUUAAACAGUACUAAUACAGCGUAUUUUGUUUGGAAUUAUUUUAUUUGGGUUAUAGCAAUUAGUAUCACUGGUCAGUAGGCCAAAUCCAGGCAGAGAGCACAGAAUCAGUUUCACAAGGCAACAACACAGACUAGUAGUUUAGCAUACAAACCAUUUCACCGCAUUUUCAAGUAGAAAUAUCUUCCAAACAUGCAUAAAAUUUUAUGCUUAGUCUUUCAGAGCUCCACGUAAUACCAGAUUCCUAAAUAUACAAAAAAUACAUUUAACUUAUAAUAAUCUUAGUGAAUCAGACUUAGAAAAUUACAGUUUUAUUCUUCACAACAUAGAAAAAAAUACAAAAAUGACUGUAGAUAGUUUUCCCCAAAAUUUCACCAACAAAUAUACAUCAAAGCACACGAUUUGAUGUAUACUCAUGAAAAUUUUAAGAUGAAAGCUAGGUUUUUAAAUGACACUGCAGAUUGGUCUACACAAAUGCCAACCUUGCUAUUGGUAAAUAAAAAAACUUGGAUAGAAACAUCACAUUGUGAAGAAUUACAAUUCACCUGCACCGUAGUAUGCAUUGUGCUGUAAUUUACACUAUGGAUAUUUCUACAGUUCCAGUUGUAAGCUCGACACUGGUAAGAACCUUGGUCUUCUGGAGGGUAAUGACUAACUUGGUCAAAGCUGGCAUGGUAGAACGCAAAGUACCAUCAACUGAACCAGUGCACAUAACACAAAGACAACCAAAGCAAAAAACAUCUGCCACAGCAGUUUGAUGAUGCUGAUAGAAAACAUGCAAGCCAAGUAAAUGAUCUGUGGGGGAGAAAAAAAACCCACCAACUUGUAGAUUUGUGAACAAGAGUACUAAUCAACGCUUUUAUUAUAAAAUCCACAUACUGUGUUACAGCUUUAGUGACUGAAAAGAGGAAAUAUACUUACUAAGAUGGCAAAAAACACACGUGACCAAAGUCAGUGCUAGGGAAAACCCUAACAAUAUUAGGGGAUCGCACUACAGUUUGUACUCAGGUUCACCUUCCAGUCAUUUCCGUGGAAGCCCAACAUGAACAAGCACUAAAUUUUUCAUAGUUCAGAUUUUUCCUUUAGAAGGAAAAUGAACUCUUCUUCUCAAAAAGUUAAAGGCAAAUUAAUAAUUUCAAUUAAAUAUUUCAUAAUAAAGCUUACUCGGCAAGGAGGCUGGUUGUACAAGCCUCUUCCAUAUCAGGAGUUCUCUCUGCUUCUCCAUAUUGUUCACGCUAUCUAAUACAGACAUGUACUACAACUGUCUCAUCAGUAGAGCUCUAAGUUUGUUUCAUACAGCAGCAUUAAACAACCACUUUUUCCUUGGAAAUUGGAACUACAAAUUUGAAUCAAAGUCUCGGUUUGUCUCUGUGCCUAAAUACAAGAAAAAAUGAAGGAGCUGAGAACCCACAACAUCCAAUAACCAGAAUCUAUCAUGAAAUCACAUUUCUCAGAUGACAUUCUUCAGAAAUGCUGUCACAAACAUCUUUGAUAGCACGAACAAACAAAAGGAGAUGUUUUGUUCAGAUGUGGAAGUUUUAAACAAUGAGUUCAGUAUGAUGCAACAUUUCUCAGACAACCAGAGCAAAGAAAUACACUGACUAACAGAGGAACGAAUUUGAAUUGUUUCAUCUUUGAAUGCAGAACCCCACUGAGGUUGAAUGCUGCCACAGUAUUUUUGCUUACAGCCUACAAAUGGCUACAAAAGGUUCAAAAUAGAAGCAAAGACCGUUAUUGUCUCUUAUCCUCUUCCAGCAUCUAAUAGUCAGGUUUUGAACAAUAGGUUUAAUAGUCAGUAUUUUGAACAAGAAAGUUGUUACACGUUACUGAAUGCUAGGAAUGUCCAAUCAGACAUUUUGAAGGAACCAAAAGAAAUGACUAAAAUUGCAGGAUUUUGUGUUUGUUUGUUUUUUAACUUAAUAUAGCUCUGACAAAUGCGAAAACAGAGAGUAUUUGUAAAUGCGGCUCUGCACCAGCACUAGAACAAAGAGGCAUUGCACUUAGUACUUACUGCCCUACGUUCAGGGAGAACUGCAAGGUGUCACACACAAGUAAUUGGGACACAGAUAUGGAUUGUGCCCAGGGAGAGGUAGGUGCUGGUGGGCAUAAAACAUUCACACCUUAUUUAUGCAGUAAAUCAUGAUGUUACAAGAAGGAAGUCACAGACACCCUUGCCUUGUUGUCUAGUAGCUCCAAAGGGGCAAGGACAGCACUAUUUAAUUUUCAAUAUGUGACACAGCAAUGACCAUUAGCCACAUUUCCUUUUGCCUUUGAUUAGAUGUCUAUUCAUCUUCCCAGUCCCUUUGUGCCUUCUAUUUAUUGCCCCCUCCCCACUUAACAUUUUUGCUCAUAUUCUGGGCCACUGCUCAUACAGCAGUAGUAGAUUCUGCUUCAUCACAUGGCUCAGUCCUUUUAUUUUCUGCUUCACCUUCCCAAGGGAAGGUUUAGCCUGAGAACCCUGAGCAAGCACCUUGGAAAAUCUACCUUUCCAUGCUCUUCUGCUGUUUCAAAAGAGCAGAUAAGGGAAAGGUAGUCCAAUCUGUAAAAGCAGCAAGUAAUG
Coturnix japonica (Japanese quail) is the source of this 6478-nucleotide long non-coding RNA. RefSeq lists it as uncharacterized. The record is from RefSeq and is a predicted model, not a curated record. Lineage: Eukaryota; Metazoa; Chordata; Aves; Galliformes; Phasianidae.